AUGCUCAGCCUUAACUAACUGGC
This 23-nucleotide small nuclear RNA is filed under the name Arabidopsis thaliana (thale cress). Its description in RNAcentral is "snRNA_14526". Lineage: Eukaryota; Viridiplantae; Streptophyta; Magnoliopsida; Brassicales; Brassicaceae. The record is from RNAcentral.